RNAcentral lists this ribosomal RNA (253 nucleotides) under uncultured bacterium. RNAcentral describes it as "partial 16S ribosomal RNA". It matches the Rfam family "Bacterial small subunit ribosomal RNA", at positions 524 to 776 of the family's 1533-position model. The record is from RNAcentral.
UACGUAGGGUGCGAGCGUUAAUCGGAAUUACUGGGCGUAAAGCGUGCGCAGGCGGUUCGUUGUGUCCGAUGUGAAAGCCCCGAGCUCAACUUGGGAAUGGCAUUGGAAACUGGCGGGCUGGAGUGCGGUAGGGGAGAUUGGAAUUCCUGGUGUAGCGGUGGAAUGCGCAGAUAUCAGGAGGAACACCAAUGGCGAAGGCAGAUCUCUGGGCCGUAACUGACGCUGAGGAGCGAAAGCAUGGGGAGCGAACAGG